This is a long non-coding RNA of Hibiscus syriacus, 265 nucleotides long. RefSeq lists it as uncharacterized. The record is from RefSeq and is a predicted model, not a curated record. NCBI's taxonomy places the organism in Eukaryota, Viridiplantae, Streptophyta, Magnoliopsida, Malvales, Malvaceae. The transcript has 4 exons.
UCAUUGCCACCCACAUAGCUACAUCAGGAUGGUUCAGCAUCUGAUAGAGAGAUGCUUGCUUCUUCACAUGAACUAACAACAAUGCGUCAAGGCAUUGGCACAGUACGCAAGCAUUCGGCCGUGCAUUACAAUCACAGUGUGGAGAGAGCUAGAGAAGGAGAAUAGGGACUUCUUUCGAGCAUAUGUUCAUGGUGUCUCUUCCUACAGGCCUUUCAUGGGUAGGUAAAUUCAAAGGAAGCCGAGUUUUGAAAGGAGGAAAAAGUAC